This 441-nucleotide ribosomal RNA is filed under the name Klebsiella oxytoca. RNAcentral describes it as "bacterial SSU rRNA". It matches the Rfam family "Bacterial small subunit ribosomal RNA", at positions 995 to 1443 of the family's 1533-position model. The record is from RNAcentral. Lineage: Bacteria; Pseudomonadati; Pseudomonadota; Gammaproteobacteria; Enterobacterales; Enterobacteriaceae.
UGGGGGAGAUGCUUNCCCCCCUCGAGAACUCUAGACAGGUGAUGAAAAAAGUCGUNGCUCGUGUUGUGAAAUGUUGGGUUAAGUCCCGCAACGAGCGCAACCCUUCUCCUUUGUCGCCAGCGAUUCGGUCGGGAACUCAAAGGAGACUGCCAGUGAUAAACUGGAGGAAGGUGGGGAUGACGUCAAGUCAUCAUGGCCCUUACGAGUAGGGCUACACACGUGCUACAAUGGCAUAUACAAAGAGAAGCGACCUCGCGAGAGCAAGCGGACCUCAUAAAGUAUGUCGUAGUCCGGAUUGGAGUCUGCAACUCGACUCCAUGAAGUCGGAAUCGCUAGUAAUCGUGGAUCAGAAUGCCACGGUGAAUACGUUCCCGGGCCUUGUACACACCGCCCGUCACACCAUGGGAGUGGGUUGCAAAAGAAGUAGGUAGCUUAACCUUU